This 516-nucleotide ribosomal RNA is filed under the name uncultured bacterium. RNAcentral describes it as "bacterial SSU rRNA". It matches the Rfam family "Bacterial small subunit ribosomal RNA", at positions 29 to 526 of the family's 1533-position model. The record is from RNAcentral.
AACGAACGCUGGCGGCGUGCCUAACACAUGCAAGUCGAGCGCGAAUGGAGCAAUCCUAGUAGAGCGGCGCACGGGUGCGUAACACGUGGAUAAUCUGCCUGGAAGACCGGGACAACCUGCCGAAAGGCUGGCUAAUACCGGAUAAGCCCACAGGGACUUCGGUCCUCGAGGGAAAAGGUGGCCUCUGUAUACAAGCUAUCACUUCCAGAUGAGUCCGCGGCCCAUCAGCUAGUUGGCGGGGUAAUGGCCCACCAAGGCAACGACGGGUAGCUGGUCUGAGAGGACGAUCAGCCACACUGGAACUGAGACACGGUCCAGACUCCUACGGGAGGCAGCAGUGGGGAAUUUUGCACAAUGGGCGAAAGCCUGAUGCAGCAACGCCGCGUGUGUGAUGAAGGUCUUCGGAUUGUAAAGCACUUUCGACCGGGAAAAAAACCCGCUGGCUAACAUCCAGCGGUUUGAUGGUACCGGGAGAAGAAGCACCGGCUAACUCUGUGCCAGCAGCCGCCGUAAGAC